Molecule: RNA transcript, 3949 nt
Organism: Rana temporaria (common frog)
Lineage: Eukaryota; Metazoa; Chordata; Amphibia; Anura; Ranidae
Gene: NACC1
Gene name: nucleus accumbens associated 1
Exons: 8
Source: RefSeq, a predicted model, not a curated record
CCCCUGGGUAGUCUGUCUGGUCGAUGAUUCGUCGAUCGUUCUCUUCAGCCUACCUAUGCGAUCCAUAGUCUGGGGCUCCGAUCAGCCGUCUGCCUUAUCCGGGGUCCACCUGAUUGUCCCUCAGUCGGGGUAACGUGCUCGUCUGGCUCAGUGUGAUCGGCGAUCGCUGCGUCUCUCCUUAGCUGGCGAUGAAUGGCUGCUGGCGGAGCCGCUAAGAGCCGAGCACCGGAGGCGGGAACCGGGGACAGCGGACCGCGGUGAGAGCAGGAGGACCAAACAGCGGCCUCUGUAUCCUCCCCCUCCGUCUGUCUCUUCCCACCUUCGCUUGUCAUCAUGUCUCAGACUCUGCAAAUGGAGAUUCCCAACUUUGGGAACAGCAUUCUGGAAUGCUUGAACGAGCAACGCCUCCAGGGUCUGUACUGCGAUGUCUCUGUGGUGGUCCGCGGUCACCAGUUUAAAGCCCACCGGGCCGUCCUGGCCGCCAGCAGCUCUUAUUUCAGAGACCUGUUCCACAACAGCAAGAACCCGGUGGUGGAGUUACCCGGUUCUGUCCAGCCGCAGUCUUUCCAGCAGAUCCUGAGCUUCUGCUACACCGGACGGCUCAGCAUGAAUGUAGGAGACCAGUUCCUGCUUAUGUACACGGCUGGCUUCCUGCAGAUCCAGGAGAUCAUGGAAAAGGGAACCGAGUUCUUCCUGAAGGUCAGCUCACCCAGCUGUGACUCGCAGGGUCUCCAUCCUGAAGAAACUCCCAGUUCUGAGCCACCAAGCCCCGCCACAACAGCAGCAGUUGCAGCAGCAGGUACGGUCAUGGUGCCUCUGUCCUCGACUACAUCUUACAACACUUCACGGCCUCCCCGGGUUAAGACGGAGAGCCAGGAGUCAGAAGCUGUUCAGUGCACCCCCGUGGCCAAGAGACUGUGGGAUGGGGGACAGAAAGACGCAGGAGGAGCCAAUAGGAAGGUGGCACGUUUUUCCCAAGGAGCCGGUACUGGACCUGGUGGGCCAUCAGGGGGAGCAGGAACGGCUGCAAUGGGUUCGGAGAGGACCAGCCCGGGAACAUCCAGCGCAUACACAAGUGACAGCCCAGGGUCUUAUCACAAUGAGGAGGAUGAAGAAGAGGAGGUUGGAGAGGAUGGGACAGAAGAACAGUACCGACAAAUCUGCAACAUGUAUACAAUGUACAGCAUGAUGAACGUCAACCAGGCCGGUGAGCGAGCCAAUGGUGGCAUCAGUAGCGAAUAUUCUUUGAAUUCUUCAGCUGAGAAGGUGGAGGCUUUGCCUGAUCCGGUCUUCUCAGACUCGAGGAACCGCGUUCGUGUCAAGCAGGACCUGGCCACACUACCAGCUGAGCUCAUCAGCCAGAUCGGGAACCGUUGUCAUCCAAAACUCUACGAAGAAGGAGAUCCUGCUGAGAAGAUAGAACUGGUGACGGGAACCAAUGUGUUUAUCACCCGUGCUCAGCUGAUGAACUGCCAUAUUAGCGCCGGAACACGCCACAAGGUCCUACUUCGCCGGUUACUGGCCUCCUUCUUUGACAGGAACACUUUAGCAAACAGUUGUGGAACAGGAAUCCGCUCGUCCACCAACGACCCCAGUAGGAAGCCCCUGGACAGCCGAGUGUUGCACGCUGUGAAGUUUUACUGUCAGAAUUUUGCCCCGAAUUUUAAGGAGAGCGAGAUGAACGCCAUUGCAGCGGACAUGUGCACAAACGCCCGGCGCGUGGUGCGCAAGAGCUGGAUCCCAAAGCUGAAGCUGCUGAUGGCCGAAGGAGACGCUUACACGUCUUUCAUCAACGACACCGGCAAAAUGGAGCCCGACCUGAUGGGAGCGGCCACUGGCGGAGAUCACGGCACCGGCUUCGACGGUGAGCCAGGCGAGGGGAUGCCCUGAUAACCCUUCUGUACGGGGCCCACACAUGUAAAUACCGCCCUCUGUCUUGGCCGAGGGACGAGGGCGUAGAGGACAAUGUGGCACUCAGGAGGUGGACUGUAAUCUAAACGCCGCAGUAGGAGGUGCUGAGUAUGACUGCGUGCUGCUGCACGGACUAGAGACUGGUGUGGAGGUACUCGGUAUCGCUAUACACUGCUGCAUGAGGUACUCGGUAUCAUUUAGCGCCCCGUGUUCCAUUAUCAGUAUAGAGUUAUACGCAGUGUCAUUAUAUAGCGCCGCGUGUACAUUAUCAGUGUAUAGAGAUACUCCGCAUAGUCAUACAGCACAUCAAAGGUCGUAGAGCUGAAGCUGAGAUUCACUUGUAAAUAGAUACUUUGCGUCAUUUUAUAGUGCAGUCGCGGUAGAAGUACGGUAUUCUCACGGGCCAACCGAUAACCCAAGUCCUGCAUCCCUGCUGCGAGAUUUAGCGUUUUUUUUUUUCUUUUUAGUAUUUUUUUUUUUUCAAGCCCCUCCUGCCACACCCCAAGAAGGAGUCGAAGGUCGCCCCUGAGCAUGCUGGCUGCGCACAAAAAGCCUGGCGUGCUCGGGCCUGAAACCAGCUUGACCCAUAUAUGCUUUAGCUUGCAAGGUCAAUACUGGUGUUGCACAAGCUCUUUCAAUAAGAAGUAAAUAUGGAAGAGCGCCCACCACCUAAAGCAGCCAGAUUUCCGCGUUUUUUUUUUUUUUUUAGUCAAAUCACUGAACGAUUUCUUCUGAUUGGUUGCUGUGGGUCACCGUACUUAGUUGAUGUAGCUCCAUAGACUUAAUUUUCUUAACUGCACUAGAAGAAAGAGCUAGAUGCUCGCUUGUUGCUGUCUUUAUACUGCGCUCCAGGGUUCGAAGGAUGAUCUCCAGGCCUGUUCUUGGCUCUUGCAAGCAGAGUUUCCAGCAUUAUGUAUAGAAAUCGUGUGUAGUCCUAAUAAACACUAUAUUCAGUAAGGUAAAGCGUGGAGAUUGCCACAUCUCAACUAAGAAUUUCCGAAGAUGCAGUUGAGUUUUUUUUUUUUUCAAAAAUACAAGGGCUGCCAUUGGGUUUGACUGACCUGCCUGCACCGUGCAUGUCUUGCUGUACAUAUAUCUGUAUAUAUAGUAACCUCUCUUCUUCCCACAUGUAGGUUUCUCAGUUUAGCUGAGCCCUGCUUUUGGGCUGUAACAGGAUGUAAAUAAUUUGAAUUAAUAUUUUUGCAGGCAAAGGGGGUGGGAAUGGAAAUCUGAAAAGAAGCAGCCCUUAGGCGAUCUGUUUUAUUUUUUAUUUUUUUUAAUAUAUGCAAAAGUGCGCGAGGCUGCACAAGCAUAUGUUGUUUUUUUUUUUUAUUAUUAUUUUUGCUUUUGUUUGCAUUUGCCAAAUUUAGAUUUUUUUUUUUUUCACUAGUGAUCACAUCCACCAUUUUCACAGUAGUUGCUUAGAAAAAAAAAGGAAGAUUCAACAUAUUUUAAACAUGUAUAUUUUAUAGGCCUUUCUGUUACAUAUGAAAAUUUGCAGCAGUUGCUUGGUAAUUUUGUGUAGUACUUGCUCACAAACACUAGAUGUCGCUGUCAACGUGCUGCCUUGGAAUAGCAACAUGUGCAGGAAACGACAAGAGCAGGAGGGUGUAAUACCUGACACUAACACUAGAUGGUGCUGUGAUGGCACGUGGAUUAUUUAGGACUGCUGAGAACCGUGUGCUGGGAUUUGUAGUUCUGCAGAAUGGGAUUUGCCAGAUACAAUGCCGUCUUUUGGACUUCUUCAGAUUGGUUGCUUUUUGGCUAACCCUUGCGUUCCUGGUUUAUAAAUGAUUUGCAUAGUGCCAGCUUCUGAAUGUGAGCAUGUGCUACACCCACAAUUGAUAUGUCAAAGUUUUUUUUUUUUUUUUUUUCUGAUGAAAUUGCACAAUUUUAAUGGAUGAAGUUACCUUUUUUUGUUUCAACCAGUCCUAUAAAAUGUAAUGUUGAUGAAGGAAAAAAAGUGAUUCUUCCCUUGUUGGCAAUAAAAUAGACAAUUUCACAGACAGACUGGUACAUUUUUGGAAUGACUCAUUAG